This 336-nucleotide ribosomal RNA is filed under the name Triticum aestivum (bread wheat). Its description in RNAcentral is "partial small subunit ribosomal RNA". The record is from RNAcentral. Lineage: Eukaryota; Viridiplantae; Streptophyta; Magnoliopsida; Poales; Poaceae.
AUGAGAUUGUCGAGAUCCUGCGCUUGUGUGUUUUGCUACAACCUUGUACAGUUUUUGCUACAACCUUCUGCAUUUUUUGCUACUACUGGAGAAGCCCCUAGCUGGACCACAAGUUAUUUUUGCUACAACCGUUUUGUGGUUUGCUGCAACCAGUGUCAAUUUUUGCUACCACCGACUUCUUUGAUUUUUCUGGAACCAGCGCUCGAUUUUUUUAUUUUUGCUACCACUAGCGUUUCGAUUUGCUGGAACAAGCUUCAAUUUUUUUGCUACCAUCAGGUUUUUGGUUUGUUGGAGCGUCGUCGAUUUUUUCUAAUUUUGCUACCAACGUUUUAUUAA